Molecule: ribosomal RNA, 449 nt
Filed under: uncultured bacterium
Lineage: Bacteria
Description: partial 16S ribosomal RNA
Rfam family: Bacterial small subunit ribosomal RNA
Source: RNAcentral
AACGAACGCUGGCGGCAUGCCUAACACAUGCAAGUCGAACGAGAUCUUCGGGUCUAGUGGCGCACGGGUGCGUAACGCGUGGGAAUCUGCCCUUUGGUUCGGAAUAACAGUUGGAAACGACUGCUAAUACCGGAUGAUGACGAAAGUCAAAAGAUUUAUCGCCAGGGGAUGAGCCCGCGUAGGAUUAGUUAGUUGGUGUGGUAAAGGCGCACCAAGGCGACGAUCCUUAGUUGGUCUGAGAGGAUGAUCAGCCACACUGGGACUGAGACACGGCCCAGACUCCUACGGGAGGCAGCAGUGGGGAAUAUUGGACAAUGGGCGAAAGCCUGAUCCAGCAAUGCCGCGUGAGUGAUGAAGGCCUUAGGGUUGUAAAGCUCUUUUACCCGGGAUGAUAAUGGCAGUACCGGGAGAAUAAGCUCCGGCUAACUCCGUGCCAGCCGCCGCCGUAA